Molecule: ribosomal RNA, 513 nt
Filed under: uncultured bacterium
Lineage: Bacteria
Description: bacterial SSU rRNA
Rfam family: Bacterial small subunit ribosomal RNA
Source: RNAcentral
UGGCUCAGAUUGAACGCUGGCGGCGUGCUUAACACAUGCAAGUCGCGCGUGAAAGGACUUCGGUCCGAGUAAAGCGGCGCACGGGUGAGUAACGCGUGGAUGAUCUACCCAUGAGUUAGGAAUAACGGCUGGAAACGGUCGCUAAUACCAAAUACGCUCCGAUUUCAACUUCGGGGGAAAGGUGGCCUCUGCUUGCAAGCUACUGCUCAUGGAUGAGUCCGCGUCCCAUUAGCUAGUUGGUGGGGUAACGGCCCACCAAGGCGACGAUGGGUAGCCGGUCUGAGAGGAUGACCGGCCACACUGGGACUGGAACACGGCCCAGACUCCUACGGGAGGCAGCAGUGGGGAAUAUUGCGCAAUGGGCGAAAGCCUGACGCAGCGACGCCGCGUGAGGGAUGAAGGUCCUCGGAUCGUAGACCUCUGUCAGGAGGGAAGAACCGCCACGGUGCUAAUCAGCCGUGGUCUGACGGUACCUCCAAAGGAAGCACCGGCUAACUCCGUGCCAGCCGCCGC